GUAGGGUGCAAGCGUUAAUCGGAAUUACUGGGCGUAAAGCGUGCGCAGGCGGUUAUGUAAGACAGUUGUGAAAUCCCCGGGCUCAACCUGGGAACUGCAUCUGUGACUGCAUAGCUAGAGUACGGUAGAGGGGGAUGGAAUUCCGCGUGUAGCAGUGAAGUGCGUAGAUAUGCGGAGGAACACCGAUGGCGAAGGCAAUCCCCUGGACCUGUACUGACGCUCAUGCACGAAAGCGUGGGGAGCAAACAGGAUUAGAUACCCUGGUAGUCCACGCCCCUAAACGAUGUCAACUGGUUGUUGGGUCUUCACUGACUCAGUAACGAAGCUAACGCGUGAAGUUGACCGCCUGGGAGUACGGCCGCAAGGUUG
Molecule: ribosomal RNA, 369 nt
Filed under: uncultured organism
Description: partial 16S ribosomal RNA
Rfam family: Bacterial small subunit ribosomal RNA
Source: RNAcentral